This 253-nucleotide ribosomal RNA is filed under the name uncultured bacterium. RNAcentral's name for it is "partial 16S ribosomal RNA". It matches the Rfam family "Bacterial small subunit ribosomal RNA", at positions 524 to 776 of the family's 1533-position model. The record is from RNAcentral.
UACAGAGGAUGCAAGCGUUAUCCGGAAUGAUUGGGCGUAAAGCGUCUGUAGGUGGCCUUUUAAGUCCGCCGUCAAAUCCCAGGGCUCAACUCUGGACAGGCGGUGGAAACUACCAAGCUUGAGUACGGUAGGGGCAGAGGGAAUUUCCGGUGGAGCGGUGAAAUGCGCAGAUAUCAGGAGGAACACCAGCGGCGAAGGCGCCGCUCUGGGCCGUAACUGACGCUGAGGAGCGGAAGCAUGGGUAGCAAACAGG